GAUGAACGCUAGCGGGAGGCUUAACACAUGCAAGUCGAGGGGCAUCACGAGGUAGCAAUACUUUGGUGGCGACCGGCGCACGGGUGAGUAACACGUAUGCAACCUACCCUGUACAGGGGGAUAACCCGGAGAAAUUCGGACUAAUAUUCCAUAAUGAUAUUUUAGGGCAUCCUUUAAUAUUUAAAGCUUUGGCGGUACAGGAUGGGCAUGCGCAACAUUAGCUAGUUGGGAGGGUAACGGCCUACCAAGGCUAUGAUGUUUAAGGGACCUGAGAGGGUGAUCCCCCACACUGGUACUGAGACACGGACCAGACUCCUACGGGAGGCAGCAGUGAGGAAUAUUGGUCAAUGGGCGGAAGCCUGAACCAGCCAUCCCGCGUGCAGGAAGACAGCCCUAUGGGUUGUAAACUGCUUUUCCAGUGGGCGAACCCCUCGUACGUGUACGGGAUUGACGGUACACUGGGAAUAAGCAUCGGCUAACUCCGUG
Molecule: ribosomal RNA, 486 nt
Filed under: uncultured bacterium
Lineage: Bacteria
Description: bacterial SSU rRNA
Rfam family: Bacterial small subunit ribosomal RNA
Source: RNAcentral